CAAUAGCGUAUAUUAAAGUUGUUGCAGUUAAAAAGCUCGUAGUUGGAUUUCUGAUCGAGACAUCAGGUCGGGUCCGAGAGGAUCAUGUACUUUGAUUUUGUUUUGAUCAUCCUUGGGGAGAGCAUUUCUGGCAUUCAGUUGUCGGGAUUGGGAUCCUCAUCGUUUACUGUGAAAAAAUUAGAGUGUUCAAAGCAGGCCUCGGCCUCUGAAUACAUUAGCAUGGAAUAAUAAGAUAGGACUUUGGUGGUCUAUUUUGUUGGUUUGCACGCCAAAGUAAUGAUUAAUAGGGAUAGUUGGGGGUAUUCGUAUUCAAUUGCCAGAGGUGAAAUUCUUGGAUUUAUGGAAGACGAACUACUGCGAAAGCAUUUACCAAGGAUGUUUUCAUUAA
This 388-nucleotide ribosomal RNA is filed under the name uncultured eukaryote. RNAcentral describes it as "partial 18S ribosomal RNA". It matches the Rfam family "Eukaryotic small subunit ribosomal RNA", at positions 592 to 976 of the family's 1831-position model. The record is from RNAcentral.